AUACGUAGGGAGCAAGCGUUAUCCGGAUUUACUGGGUGUAAAGGGCGCGUAGGCGGGACUGCAAGUCAGGUGUGAAAUCUGGUGGCUCAACCACCAAACUGCACUUGAAACUGUGGUUCUUGAGUGAUGGAGAGGUAAGCGGAAUUCCCGGUGUAGCGGUAAAAUGCGUAGAUAUCGGGAGGAACACCAGUGGCGAAGGCGGCUUACUGGACAUUUACUGACGCUGAGGCGCGAAAGUGUGGGGAGC
This 247-nucleotide ribosomal RNA is filed under the name uncultured bacterium. Its description in RNAcentral is "partial 16S ribosomal RNA". It matches the Rfam family "Bacterial small subunit ribosomal RNA", at positions 523 to 769 of the family's 1533-position model. The record is from RNAcentral.